ACCCUGCCAUCUGCACCCCAGCAGAAGUUACUGAAAUGUGGGAAUUUGAGGUUAAUCUGCAGUGCAGUAGUGCAGGUCAGAGGCUGGGCCCGAGUCUCCCCUGCAUUACAGCGGCGUUCAGCCUCGCUGACAGCUGUGUAACACGCGAGAUCCGCCUCCAGCGAAGCCCGCAGGGACAGCCCUGAGCUAGCUCCGAGCUGCUGCACUCCAGCGCUGCUGCCAGCUUAGGAAGGAGCCCAGAGCAGCCUGUCUGCUUGAGCACAAACUCCCCAGCAAACCUGAGCUGCCGAGGCUGUGUGGAUAGCAGCACAGAAUAGCAGCAACACAUUGGUCCUUUUAGAGGUGCAUUCAGCUACAGGAUGCCCACAGAAGGAUGCAGAGAAGUUGAAGCAGCAUUUGCUACUUUCCUGAAGCACAGCUACCUAAGCAGGUUGCACCUGCUCUCAAGGAUACUACCCAAGGAUAAACAUAGAGAAGGCACAAGGCCAGCACCAGAAGUGCUGUUUCCGCAGGACUUGCAGGCAGAGCUCUGUUGUCACCUUUGCUCUGCUCUUGCCACACUGCAGCACCUAGCCCUGGGCAAGAUUGAAGCUGGGAACCAAAAGCUGGCUAGCACAGAGCCCAAAAUACCCAAGGACAUCCAUGACACAAUCUCAGAAGAGCCUGUACCAGCUUAUAAAUUGUCUGUGCAGUGGGAUCUGUCAGGAGGAAGCACAACCUGCCUCCAUGGAGACGACAAAGUUUGGGACUGAAGCAGUGAGAGGCAUGGGAUCAUCAUGGAGCAUUGCUGUGAGCUUUGGUAAUAAACUGACCCCGCAAAAGAGAGAAGGAAGGAGAGGAUUCCUGCUGCCCUGGGCAUGGUGCAGGUAGCCCAGGGCAACUAUCACUAAGAGACAUCAAUGUUUUUUCCAUCUGAGUGCUAAGCUUUAUAAACAGAAUAAAGUAUCAUGCAGAGGACUGCUUA
Molecule: long non-coding RNA, 964 nt
Organism: Pseudopipra pipra
Lineage: Eukaryota; Metazoa; Chordata; Aves; Passeriformes; Pipridae
Exons: 5
Source: RefSeq, a predicted model, not a curated record